RNAcentral lists this ribosomal RNA (126 nucleotides) under Labrus bergylta (ballan wrasse). RNAcentral's name for it is "partial 28S ribosomal RNA". Lineage: Eukaryota; Metazoa; Chordata; Actinopteri; Labriformes; Labridae. The record is from RNAcentral.
GAGGUGGGAUCCCGGCCCCGCGGGGNNGCNCGCACCACCGGCCCGUCUCGCCCGCACCGUCGGGGAGGUGGAGCGUGAGCGCGUGCGAUAGGACCCGAAAGAUGGUGAACUAUGCCUGGGCAGGGC